This 525-nucleotide ribosomal RNA is filed under the name uncultured bacterium. RNAcentral describes it as "bacterial SSU rRNA". It matches the Rfam family "Bacterial small subunit ribosomal RNA", at positions 777 to 1297 of the family's 1533-position model. The record is from RNAcentral.
AAUAGAUACCCUGGUAGUCCACGCCGUAAACGAUGAGUGCUAAGUGUUAGAGGGUUUCCGCCCUUUAGUGCUGCAGCUAACGCAUUAAGCACUCCGCCUGGGGAGUACGGCCGCAAGGCUGAAACUCAAAGGAAUUGACGGGGGCCCGCACAAGCGGUGGAGCAUGUGGUUUAAUUCGAAGCAACGCGAAGAACCUUACCAGGUCUUGACAUCCUCUGACAACCCUAGAGAUAGGGCUUUCCCCUUCGGGGGACAGAGUGACAGGUGGUGCAUGGUUGUCGUCAGCUCGUGUCGUGAGAUGUUGGGUUAAGUCCCGCAACGAGCGCAACCCUUGAUCUUAGUUGCCAGCAUUCAGUUGGGCACUCGUAAGGUGACUGCCGGUGACAAACCGGAGGAAGGUGGGGAUGACGUCAAAUCAUCAUGCCCCUUAUGACCUGGGCUACACACGUGCUACAAUGGAUGGUACAAAGGGCUGCAAAACCGCGAGGUUAAGCGAAUCCCAUAAAACCCGAUUCUCAGUUCGGA